GGUCUGUCGCGUCUGCUGUGAAAACCCGAGGCUCAACCUCGGGCCUGCAGUCGAUACGGGCAGACUAGAGUUCGGUAGGGGAGACUGGAAUUCCUGGUGUAGCGGUGAAAUGCGCAGAUAUCAGGAGGAACACCGGUGGCGAAGGCGGGUCUCUGGGCCGAAACUGACGCUGAGGAGCGAAAGCGUGGGGAGCGAACAGGAUUAGAUACCCUGGUAGUCCACGCCGUAAACGUUGGGCGCUAGGUGUGGGUUUCCUUCCACGGGAUCCGUGCCGCAGCUAACGCAUUAAGCGCCCCGCCUGGGGAGUACGGCCGCAAGGCUAAAACUCAAAGGAAUUGACGGGGGCCCGCACAAGCGGCGGAGCAUGUGGCUUAAUUCGACGCAACGCGAAGAACCUUACCAAGGCUUGACAUGCAGGGAAAUCCGGCAGAGACGUCGGGUCCGCAAGGGUCCUGCACAGGUGGUGCAUGGUUGUCGUCAGCUCGUGUCGUGAGAUGUUGGGUUAAGUCCCGCAACGAGCGCAACCCUCGUUCUAUGUUGCCAGCGGGUAAUGCCGGGGACUCAUAGGAGACUGCCGGGGUCAACUCGGAGGAAGGUGGGGAUGACGUCAAAUCAUCAUGCCCCUUAUGUCUUGGGCUGCACACAUGCUACAAUGGCCGGUACAAAGGGCUGCGAAACCGCAAGGUAGAGCGAAUCCCAAAAAGCCGGUCUCAGUUCGGAUUGGGGUCUGCAACUCGACCCCAUGAAGU
This 749-nucleotide ribosomal RNA is filed under the name uncultured Actinomycetes bacterium. RNAcentral's name for it is "bacterial SSU rRNA". It matches the Rfam family "Bacterial small subunit ribosomal RNA", at positions 577 to 1326 of the family's 1533-position model. Lineage: Bacteria; Bacillati; Actinomycetota; Actinomycetes. The record is from RNAcentral.